This 570-nucleotide long non-coding RNA is filed under the name Fukomys damarensis (Damara mole-rat). RNAcentral describes it as "lncRNA (ENSFDAG00000030056.1)". The record is from RNAcentral. Lineage: Eukaryota; Metazoa; Chordata; Mammalia; Rodentia; Bathyergidae.
GUUUAUAAGAAUUUAGGUUCAGAAAACCUAGACAGCACUAUUUUCAGGACAAUGUAUUCCAGUUAGGGUCACAGUCCUGGAGCAAGUGGAAAGCCUUUCUUCCUUCCUGGGAAGUCUUCACAUCAUGAAUUCCGAUGCCUAACAAAUGGAAUCCUCAGCAUUCCAGAUGCCAGAGUCCUGCUAAUGGAUAUGAAAUCGGGGUGGGAAAGGAGCUGAAGCAUUUUCCAGAAGCUGCCGCCUUCCUUCGAGGGAAACUUCUCUCUUCGUGGAGUUACUCAACCAUGGAUUGCUUCUGGACCACGCAGCCAGUAGCAGCACUACAAUACAACUUUCCAAGGAAGACAAUGAAAGUGGUCAGUCUAGUGAUGAGGUGAAGGGGGAAACAUGCUGUGAGAACACUCAGAUACAAAGACAAAGGCGUCCACCUAUUCUCUGGAACAAAAGUCGACAUCUCAGUGAUGCUAUCUUUAGCUGCAACAAGUCUAAAGAGUGUUAUGAGAUACGGUGUGUUUAUAAAUGUCAUGGGAUAAAAAUGAGAACAUUGUUUCUCAUCAUGUCCUUUACCUGUUU